Molecule: ribosomal RNA, 231 nt
Filed under: uncultured bacterium
Lineage: Bacteria
Description: partial 16S ribosomal RNA
Rfam family: Bacterial small subunit ribosomal RNA
Source: RNAcentral
UGCGUAACACGUAUACAACCUACCUAUAACAGGGGGAUAGCCUUUCGAAAGAGAGAUUAAUACCCCGUAAUAAAUUUGAUGGCAUCAUUAGAUUUUGAAAGCUCCGGCGGUUAUAGAUGGGUAUGCGUCUGAUUAGCUAGUUGGUGAGGUAAUGGCUCACCAAGGCGACGAUCAGUAGGGGAUCUGAGAGGACUAACCCCCACACUGGUACUGAGACACGGACCAGACUCC